RNAcentral lists this transfer RNA (88 nucleotides) under Candidatus Bathyarchaeota archaeon. RNAcentral describes it as "tRNA-Leu". It matches the Rfam family "tRNA". From Rfam's summary of the family: Transfer RNA (tRNA) molecules are approximately 80 nucleotides in length. Their secondary structure includes four short double-helical elements and three loops (D, anti-codon, and T loops). Further hydrogen bonds mediate the characteristic L-shaped molecular structure. tRNAs have two regions of fundamental functional importance: the anti-codon, which is responsible for specific mRNA codon recognition, and the 3' end, to which the tRNAs corresponding amino acid is attached (by aminoacyl-tRNA synthetases). tRNAs cope with the degeneracy of the genetic code in two manners: having more than one tRNA (with a specific anti-codon) for a particular amino acid; and 'wobble' base-pairing, i.e. permitting non-standard base-pairing at the 3rd anti-codon position. The record is from RNAcentral. Lineage: Archaea; Thermoproteati; Candidatus Bathyarchaeota.
GCAGGGGUACCCGAGUCAGGUCUAAGGGGCGGGGUUCAGGUCCCCGUGGCGUAGGCCUUCGUGGGUUCAAAUCCCACCCCCUGCACCA